This 468-nucleotide ribosomal RNA is filed under the name uncultured bacterium. RNAcentral's name for it is "partial 16S ribosomal RNA". It matches the Rfam family "Bacterial small subunit ribosomal RNA", at positions 28 to 507 of the family's 1533-position model. The record is from RNAcentral.
GACGAACGCUGGCGGCGUGCUUAACACAUGCAAGUCGAACGGAAAGGUCCUGCUUUUGUGCGGUGCUCGAGUGGCGAACGGGUGAGUAACACGUGAGUAACCUGCCCUUGACUUUGGGAUAACAUUAGGAAACUGGGGCUAAUACCGGAUAUGAGCUCCUGCUGCAUGGUGGUGGUUGGAAAGUUUCGGCGUUUGGGGAUGGUCUCGCGGGUUAUCAGCUUGUUGGUGGGGUAGUGGCUUACCCAGGCUUCGACGGGUAGCCGGCCUGAGAGGGUGACCGGCCACAUUGGGACUGAGAUACGGCGCAGACGCCUACGGGAGGCAGCGGUGGAGAAUAUUGCGGAGUGAGCGGGAGCCUGUUGCAACGACGCCGCGUGCGUGAUGACGGCCUACGAGUUGUAAACCGCUUUCGCCUGUGACGAAGCGUGAGUGACGGUAAUGGAUAAAGAAGCACCGGCUAACUACGUG